Long non-coding RNA from Solenopsis invicta (red fire ant), 3271 nucleotides. RefSeq lists it as uncharacterized. Lineage: Eukaryota; Metazoa; Arthropoda; Insecta; Hymenoptera; Formicidae. The record is from RefSeq and is a predicted model, not a curated record. The transcript has 4 exons.
AAUUUCUAAAGCGCUCUCGAUUGAACGCAAUUAAUCGUUAUCAUAGGUAUAUUAAUUACUACGAUGUAAUGAGAGCACACGCGAAACAAAGCAUAAAGUGCAUGCGGCAGUUGCGACGCUAUAUCGAAAUUCGGAAUAGGAGAUACGAAAUUUUCAACGUACAUUAUACAUUUAAGCGUUGUUUAGCAGCAGCCGAUCGGACUCAUGUAAACAAACAACGCUGGACGUGCGCCGCGGCGCCGUGGCACUGUUUACAUAAACUCGCCGUAUCGCCACUCGUGCUGGGAAGCUUGGACGGACAACUCGACAAGUAGGAAUCGCUCCGUAUCUCCCAUCUUACAAAUAUAACCGCGACGAAAGCGCAGGGCCCAAGAGAGAACGCGUUUUAUUCCGCACGAGCGUUUAUCGAUUAAUGCCGUUCGAUUAAUCAUCUCUUGUAAUUAGAGACUCGUGUAGACGUAUGGAAACGGCACUUCAUUAUCAAAGCAAAUAUCUCGCGAUUUAUUAAUUCGAUGUGUGUACUGAAGCGACAGAUUAUACGGAAAUCGUAAGUUAUUGCUUCGUUGAGACAUUUAAACCAUUAUUGAAAGUGUGAUUUAUUGUAGAUUCAUUCAUGCAUUUAACCUUUUUCUUUUAAUCGAACAUGGAAAAUUAUUUACGACAAUGAAUAUCGAUCUUAGAGCGAUAAUCGCAUCUUCGAUAAUUUUGUAGGAUCGAAUACACACACGUACACAUACAUACACAUCAAAUUGAGAGCGCGGAGUAAUACACGGUCGACUACGUGAGUCAACUAAUGGAAAGCCGUGAUAUAUCGAUUGUUUAUAUAUUAAUAACGUUAAUGUGUGACAACGAGUAAUUAAUAAUACGCGCAUUCCGCGGGGAUUACGCGUGUGAAAUAUACUGGCCGCGAAUUUCGACCGCAUAUUUUCGGACACGGUUCAACUGCACUUGAUCAGUCGCUAAUUUGACUCGUGUUGUAUCGCAAGAGUGAAGUUACCGACGCCACUUUCGCGGUUUCCCUCUCUGCGUACCCCGCGUCGGAGCGUCGGAGCGUCGCACGCGUCGCCGCGUCGUGGACACACAGAAAACAUAGGUAACCGUCGUCUAACACACAGUCGUUAUUGGCGUCGUUCCUCGACGUUCGUCAACGGUGUAACGUAAAUUCGAUUUGUAUUCAUCGCAGCGAGCGCGGAGCACGACAAUCGCAAUCGACGCGCGGCGUCAAGCGCCAAUGUUCCGCGCGGUGUUGUUGUCGUUACGCGAGGUCGCGUGUGUUUUCAUUCGCGCGCCGCGAGCCUGAGUGUAGGCACGGACAGGGCGAGAGCUGCGUCGCAUCGUCAUAGCGUUCUUUCUCGAGCUUUCCAUCCCGGGACACCGAACGCGGUUCGCCAGGGACAGAAAUUAGCUAUCGUUGGCACGGUUAGUCGUCACGCGACGCUGGCGAUCGACGAUUAAUUCGCAGGCGUGCUAAAGUGACGUCUGCGUGUACGUAUUUCGUGAGAUUUAUUCGUUGGGUUAGCAUCGUCUGACAUACGGCCGUUCCUUGACAUUCGUCAACGGAGUAACAUAAAUUUUAUUUACAUUUUGCACAGCGAGCGACCGACUCGAGCGCCAAACGCGACGACCACCGUCGACGCGUGGCGCCAACGCUCCGCGCGGCGUUGUUAUUUAGUAAGGUUGGUGUUUUUAUUCGCGCACGGCGAUCCUCUGUGCAGAUACGGACAGGGAACAGGGACGAGGGUCGUUCGGUGCGUUGCACUGUCGUAGCGUUCUCUCUUUCUCGAGCUUUCUAUCCCGAGACGCCAAACGCGAUUCGCCAGGAACAGCUAUCAUUGUAGCUGUAAUUAGCUAUCAUUGACGAGGUUAGUCGACGCGCGACGCUGGCGAUCGACGAUCGAUUCGCAAGCGUGCCUACGACUGCGUGUACGUUUUCCUGAGAUUUAUUCGUUGUACGUAAGAAUCCAAGAGGUAGGAACGUUAAAUUACUGUUUUCAUUGCAACAUUUGAGCGGAUGAUAAUUUUCUUAAUACGUGAAUUCUAAUUUCUGCACCUCGCGCGUCGUACUUUGCAUUCCUAACCUAUUAGAAAUUGGUCUGAAGUGUAUCGCAGGUAUGAUAAUGAAAUUUUCGCAAGUUGCCUGCUACGUAUGCGGUCGUUACUUUGAUACACGUAGUAACGCGGGAAUGAAAUAGUCGGCGCCAAUUGUCGCAAUCUCGUUUUCAGGUUAUCUCAGGUAGAAAAAGGAACGAUUCCGAGACGAGCGACGUUGCGGCGUGUCUAAUUCGGACGCCGAACGGAUCGUUGCUUCGAUCGCGAUUCCGAUUCUCGUUUUCGCAAAUAUGAUUUUGGGAAAUGUUAUAAAACGCCUGUCGCGAUUAACGCAAUCGGGAGUGCGAAGUUCCGCGCGAUCGUGAUUAACCUCAUUUCGCGGUGCGCGCAUCGCGUUCGAUUAAUGUCGGGUGUGCCGUAUAAAGUGUCGCGCGAUCCUAAUUAACCUUACUUUCGCGAGUGAUGUGUGAGUGUCACGAAAGGACGACGACCAGGAAAUCUGAGAGGAGGAGGAGGCCCGGGGAGGCAUCAGGCGACGGCGGAGCAACUGAGGAUCCAUGUACACUUAUGUAACAACUCCACUGCUGUGCAUCGCAUUUAGAUUUAGAACCGACGAUUCCAACGUGACUGAAAAUUGAGAAAGGUGAAGCGACGAAACGAUGGGGACGAGGUCGAAAAGCGAGACAGAGGAGAGGAAGAGGGAGGGAGUGGAGAAUACAUUAACAGCAAUCGUUGAAAUCGCAAAGAAACGAACUUCGGCAGGACAGACGCAGGUAUGAUUAGAAAGCGGCGCGGAGAUCCUCUCACGCUGUUUCUGAGAAGUCCUUUAAUUUCGCUCGGAAGUAAUUACGACGGCGAUUUAACACGGCGUGGCGUGUAUACGCUUUCGUGACUACGUAAGCGCGGUCCUCGCUGGAUGUCUCUCGGACAAUUUCCGCAUUUCGCUAAAGGCGAAGGAGAAUAAAUAGUGGCAUACGAGCUCUCCGCGGCGCGAGAGUGCUCAUCUAGUUACGAUUGACGGGAAAUUAUACGCUUCCCGAUUUUGUUAAGCUGGCAGAUGAAAAGACGUAGGGCUUAACUCAAAAGGAAGAAAAAGACGUGCGAGCUUAAUUCGAGUAAAAUGAAAAAGAAUUUCUGAAUUAAUCGUGAAAAUACAUUAUCAUAUUUCAUUUCUUAUAUUAUUGUACGCUUUAUUUUACUUCUUACACCAUGUUACCGUUUU